AGAAAUAUAAAGAAUAUGCUAAAGCCGCUAACUUUAAGUAAUAGCGGUUAAACUCCGUUAAUAUUUCUA
This 69-nucleotide transfer RNA is filed under the name Coptotettix longjiangensis. RNAcentral's name for it is "tRNA-Ser". RNAcentral also lists the same sequence under 1 other name. The record is from RNAcentral. Lineage: Eukaryota; Metazoa; Arthropoda; Insecta; Orthoptera; Tetrigidae.